UACGUAGGUGGCAAGCGUUGUCCGGAUUUACUGGGCGUAAAGAGCGCGCAGGCGGUCGGAUAAGUCGAAUGUGAAAGCCCCCGGCUCAACUGGGGAGGGGCAUUCGAUACUGUUCGACUCGAAGGCAGGAGAGGGAAGUGGAAUUCCCGGUGUAGUGGUGAUAUGCGUAGAUAUCGGGAGGAACACCAGUGGCGAAGGCGGCUCUCUGGGCCCUACCUGACGCUGAGACGCGAAAGCGUGGGGAGCGAACCGG
Molecule: ribosomal RNA, 253 nt
Filed under: uncultured bacterium
Lineage: Bacteria
Description: partial 16S ribosomal RNA
Rfam family: Bacterial small subunit ribosomal RNA
Source: RNAcentral